RNAcentral lists this ribosomal RNA (492 nucleotides) under uncultured bacterium. Its description in RNAcentral is "partial 16S ribosomal RNA". It matches the Rfam family "Bacterial small subunit ribosomal RNA", at positions 29 to 507 of the family's 1533-position model. The record is from RNAcentral.
AGUGAACGCUGGCGGUAGGCCUAACACAUGCAAGUCGAACGGCAGCACAGUAAGAGCUUGCUCUUACGGGUGGCGAGUGGCGGACGGGUGAGGAAUACAUCGGAAUCUACUUUUUCGUGGGGGAUAACGCAGGGAAACUUACGCUAAUACCGCAUACGACCUACGGGUGAAAGCAGGGGAUCUUCGGACCUUGCGCGAUUGAAUGAGCCGAUGUCGGAUUAGCUAGUUGGCGGGGUAAAGGCCCACCAAGGCGACGAUCCGUAGCUGGUCUGAGAGGAUGAUCAGCCACACUGGAACUGAGACACGGUCCAGACUCCUACGGGAGGCAGCAGUGGGGAAUAUUGGACAAUGGGCGCAAGCCUGCUCCAGCCAUACCGCGUGGGUGAAGAAGGCCUUCGGGUUGUAAAGCCCUUUUGUUGGGAAAGAAAAGCAGCAGGUUAAUACCCCGCUGUUCUGACGGUACCCAAAGAAUAAGCACCGGCUAACUUCGUG